AUCAUUAGAGAACUUGUUAAAAUGCAGAUUCUGAUCCAAUAGCUCUGAAGUAGGUCUACAUUUCUAACAAGUUCCCAGGUGAUGAUAAUGCUGC
RNAcentral lists this microRNA precursor (94 nucleotides) under Chlorocebus sabaeus (green monkey). RNAcentral describes it as "miRNA (ENSCSAG00000026486.1)". Lineage: Eukaryota; Metazoa; Chordata; Mammalia; Primates; Cercopithecidae. The record is from RNAcentral.